RNAcentral lists this long non-coding RNA (373 nucleotides) under Equus asinus (donkey). Its description in RNAcentral is "lncRNA (ENSEASG00005032979.1)". The record is from RNAcentral. Lineage: Eukaryota; Metazoa; Chordata; Mammalia; Perissodactyla; Equidae.
GGGCCUGUUGCGACGGAUACUUUCCGCAGGCUCCGGGAUAACGGCACCCAGUGGGCGGGCACUCAAGCAGAAGGGGCGGGGCCUAUUGAGGGGACCAGCGAGAGCCGUAGACCCAGGGAGAUCAACGCAGAAACAACGAGAACUAAGCAGAGAGGGUGACUAGAGUCCUAUAAGGUUGGUGUCAUGACCCUCAGUUUACCAGGAGGAAAUGGGAGCUUAGAGAGAUGAUGUGAGCUGUUCAAGAUCGCAUGGCCAGAUCAUCUACCCUGACGAGGAGCAAUGGAGGUGAGGAUGCGCGGAGAGAAGGACACCACUGAGACACAAGAGGGCGCCCGUCGCCCUGAAUCCAGCCUGGAAUUGUUCCAUGGUUUCC